UGGACGAAGUACACAUAAACUCUGAAUAUUGCGCAUAACCUUAAGUUUCAGUAACCUAUUAUUAAUUUAUAUGCAAAAUAGUUAAUCUUUUUCACCAACAACGAUAUUAUACUAAGUUUGGAUCUGAAUAAUGAUACAUCAACUGCACUAGUUACUUUUUCUAAUACGUUUAUAAUCGCCCAUGAAAGUUUAUUCUGAUGGCAAAGCAAGUAUGUAGUAGUAUCAAUAAGCUUAAGUUUCAGAUAAAAUCUACGUGGCACCGGAGGAAAAUGGGUUCCAAAUAUGUAGUAAUAUCAAUAA
Molecule: long non-coding RNA, 300 nt
Filed under: Brassica napus (rape)
Lineage: Eukaryota; Viridiplantae; Streptophyta; Magnoliopsida; Brassicales; Brassicaceae
Description: long non-coding RNA (BNAP_LNC008722)
Source: RNAcentral